Molecule: long non-coding RNA, 757 nt
Filed under: Gossypium barbadense (sea-island cotton)
Lineage: Eukaryota; Viridiplantae; Streptophyta; Magnoliopsida; Malvales; Malvaceae
Description: long non-coding RNA (GBAR_LNC000066)
Source: RNAcentral
UGAGAUUGAUUGAGAAAUAAUGGUCGGAUCUAGUCAGUGUCAAAGGAAAAUCAGAAGUGAAAUUGAGAAAGUUUAAGGGGGUACUGAAGAAGUGGAAUGUGGAGGAUAGUAAUAUGUUGGAAAUUAGAAUUAUUGUUAGCGAGUGUAGAUUAAAGGAGUUGGAUGAAAUUAGUAAGAUAAGAGAGUUAACAGCGGAGGAAAUGGAGGAAUUAAAACAUUUGAACACAGAGCUUUGGGAAGCAAUAUGAUUCAAAGAAUCCGUGUAGCGACAGAAAUCAAGAUUGUCAUGGUUAAAAAAAGGGGUUGCCUUCAGCGCCUUGUUUCAUAGAGCCGUGAAAAGAAGUUGGUUCGGUGGUGGCUUUUGCGUGGUGUGUUGGUCACUUUAGCCAGUUUUUGCAGAAAUUGAGUCUGCAAUUUUGUAGGUGGGUAAUGUUGUUUUCUCUCUGGCUGAUCGGAAAGGUAUUGUUUUGGCUUCGUCUUUAGCGAUGGAUGGUUUUAAUCAGCCGCAAAUGUUUAAAGCGUGGUGGUGAGGUUUUCUGUUCAAGAAUUAGCAGUUUCGUAUGUUGUAUUUGGAUUGUGACUUUAUUAUGCUUUUUGUUGCUUCUUUUUCUGUUUUUGGAUGCUGCUCUGUUUUCUUUGACAGUGCAGUCGAAUGUUGCAAAAAAAAAAAAAAACAUAAUUUACAUUGUUUGGAGUUUGCAAUCUUUUCAGUCAAAUUAAUUGGGCAAUAACUUAAAUGAUUUGGUGAAUGUUUGCU